UAACAGGUCCAGCAAUGGAUGCUGACGAGUGGCGCACGGGUGCGUAACGCGUAUGCAAUCUACCUUUAACUGGUGAAUAGCCCGAAGAAAUUCGGAUUAAUACACCAUAGUAUAUUUGAACAGCAUUGUUUAAAUAUUAAAGUCCCAACGGUUAAAGAUGAGCAUGCGUGACAUUAGCUAGUUGGUGAGGUAAUGGCUCACCAAGGCAACGAUGUCUAGGGGAUCUGAGAGGAUUAACCCCCACACUGGUACUGAGACACGGACCAGACUCCUACGGGAGGCAGCAGUAAGGAAUAUUGGACAAUGGUCGCAAGACUGAUCCAGCCAUGCCGCGUGAAGGAUGACGGCCCUAUGGGUUGUAAACUUCUUUUGUAUGGGAAAAAACCUCUUUACGUGUAAAGAGCUGAUGGUACCAUAAGAAUAAGGAUCGGCUAACUCCGUGCCAGCAGCCGCGGUAAUACGGAGAAUCCAAGCGUUAUCCGGAUUCAUUGGGUUUAAAGGGUGCGUAGGCGGAAUGAUAAGUCAGUGGUGAAAUCCUGCAGCUUAACUGCAGAACUGCCAUUGAUACUGUCAAUCUUGAGUACAUUUGAUGUGGGCGGAAUGUGUCAUGUAGCGGUGAAAUGCUUAGAUAUGACACAGAACACCGAUUGCGAAGGCAGCUCACAAAACUGUAACUGACGCUGAGGCACGAAAGCGUGGGUAUCAAACAGGAUUAGAUACCCUGGUAGUCCACGCUGUAAACUAUGAUUACUCGAUGUUUGCGAUACACUGUAAGCGUCUAAGCGAAAGCGAUAAGUAAUCCACCUGGGGAGUACGCUCGCAAGAGUGAAACUC
This 834-nucleotide ribosomal RNA is filed under the name uncultured Bacteroidota bacterium. RNAcentral's name for it is "bacterial SSU rRNA". It matches the Rfam family "Bacterial small subunit ribosomal RNA", at positions 70 to 902 of the family's 1533-position model. The record is from RNAcentral. Lineage: Bacteria; Pseudomonadati; Bacteroidota.